AUGGCUGGAUUUUUCAUGGGCGAGGAGAGCCAGGAGCGGAUGAAUCUACGGGUGACACGGGUCUUGGUGACUGUGAGCCACCUCGCGCAUCUUACCCUGGCCCAAUUAUCUGGGAUCCGUCGGCGUAGAGACUCCGGUGUGCGGAUGUCUCUGGUGUGGGUGGCGUACCACGUGACCGAGAUAAUCACGCCAAUCGCCCUCGGCAAGGUGUUUCUCGACACCGCGACCGCGGUUAGCGAGGAGCUGAUGUUUGCGUUCUGGGCGCCGUUUCUCCUGCUGCACCUUGGUCGCCCGGACAACAUCACCAGCUACGCCUUGGAGCACAAUGAGCUGUCGCCGACCCAAAAGGCUGCUCUCGUCCUUGAAAUCGGAGGAGCUAUCUAUGGCUCAUACAAGCAAAGAUUUAUGCGCGGCGACGGGGCUCUGCGCGCCGCCUUCUUCAUCAUGCUCUUCCUGGGCUCCUAUAAGUACGUGGAGAGGGCAGUUGCGCUACGGCGAGCUUGCUUUGACAACAUUCGUCGCUCAGCCGGGAGAAAGAAGUUACGGCGCUUCACAUUUGAGGACGAAGGCCGUAAGUGGGAUAAUGAUGAUGCCCUGCUUGAUGCUCACGGCCUUCUCGGUGUCACCAUGGGUGCCUUCGCUGACUAUCAAGUCCACCGCCGGAGGUAUGUCCCAUCUUAUUCUGGCUGGAAGGAUGUUAGCGAGGUGGUUGAGAUGGAGGCGUCGCUCAUGUACGACAUGUUGUACACAAAGGCAAGUGUGGUCCGCACUUGGGCUGGCUACAUCAUCCGUGUCCUCUCGCCGCCGGCAACUGCCACGGCGCUCUAUCUCUUCCACAGUAAGGAGGGCAAUGCCAUGGAGAGUGCAGAUCGGACGGUCACAUACACCUUGCUUGUUGGUACCCUGGUGUUGGAUGUGAGAUGGCUGCUGAGAGCCCUAGGGUCCACCUGGACAUAUGCGUUCUUGGUAGAGCAAGGGGAAGGAAAAGAAUGGCUGCUUCCGGUUCGACGGACCUUCCCGGACAAUUUGCCUCGUCAAGCUGCAAUGCAAUCAUGGUAUUGCGUCCGUCGCCUCCUCGUCUCUCUGGAUACGUCCCGUCUCUCACUGAGAAGCGGCCCAAGUGGCCAUAGGUUGUUGUCCGGCGUGGGGCAACACAACUUGUUGCAAGAGUGCUGUACCUGUACUACUCCUCGCCCUCCGGGCCAACUGGAGAAGCUGGUCUCUUCUUUCUUCACUGGACUUGGGAAGAAGAAGACUGAUGUCAAGGAUGAUUUGUUGGAAGCUGUGUGCACACAGGUACUGCUGGAAUCUCGCACACUCGUCGGGAUGCGUCCCAUAAGGGAACUCGAUGAUUAUAUGAGGUCUAAUGCCAGUAACUAUAGUUUUGAAAACAACCUCAUCGCACUGCACGUCGCCACGGAUAUUUUCCUCUUGUGCAAGCCGACUUCGAUAAAAAGUGAAGCAUCAGCCAAAUACGAGAAGCAGAUACGAGCAAUAUCAGAUUACAUGAUGUUCCUCCUCGCUGAACGCCGGCACAUGGUAUUGAACCCGUGUGACGAGGGUAUCCACUACAAAAAGGCCCGCCUCGAUUUGGAGAAAAUAUGGCGUGAAAGAGGAACCAACAGUUCUCCAACAACAAGAGAGACAAAGCAGCUUGCCAACAUCCUUCUAGACAUGGAUGCCACUGAGGGCAGCUACAUGCUUGGAAGACCAAGUCAUCUUUAUAACAGAAAUGAUACUCUCGGGAUUGGUGCUUACUGGGCCUUCAACCUGUUAGAUGAGCUAGAACCGGGAAAUUAUGGACGACAUCCGAUGCAGGGCCAAUACAUUCACAAACUUGAAGCUUUCAUCCCGGCAUUCACCGAUGAGCAGGGACUCCCAUGCCAAGCAGCUCAGCUGCGGCGGUGA
This 1908-nucleotide ribosomal RNA is filed under the name Triticum aestivum (bread wheat). Its description in RNAcentral is "partial small subunit ribosomal RNA". The record is from RNAcentral. Lineage: Eukaryota; Viridiplantae; Streptophyta; Magnoliopsida; Poales; Poaceae.